GGGUGGUAAUGCCGGAUGCUCCAGUCCAUCGCAUGGUGGUCUGGGAAAGAUUCCAUCGGUAUGGGAUGGGGUCGCGUCCUAUCAGCUUGAUGGCGGGGUAACGGCCCACCAUGGCUUCGACGGGUAGCCGGCCUGAGAGGGCGACCGGCCACAUUGGGACUGAGAUACGGCCCAGACUCCUACGGGAGGCAGCAGUGGGGAAUAUUGCACAAUGGGCGCAAGCCUGAUGCAGCGACGCCGCGUGCGGGAUGGAGGCCUUCGGGUUGUAAACCGCUUUUGAUCGGGAGCAAGCCCUUCGGGGUGAGUGUACCCUUCGAAUAAGCACCGGCUAACUACGUGCCAGCAGCCGCGGUAAUACGUAGGGUGCAAGCGUUAUCCGGAAUUAUUGGGCGUAAAGGGCUCGUAGGCGGUUCGUCGCGUCCGGUGUGAAAGCCCAUCGCUUAACGGUGGGUCUGCGCCGGGUACGGGCGGGCUGGAGUGCGGUAGGGGAGA
This 492-nucleotide ribosomal RNA is filed under the name Bifidobacterium dentium. RNAcentral's name for it is "bacterial SSU rRNA". It matches the Rfam family "Bacterial small subunit ribosomal RNA", at positions 158 to 660 of the family's 1533-position model. Lineage: Bacteria; Bacillati; Actinomycetota; Actinomycetes; Bifidobacteriales; Bifidobacteriaceae. The record is from RNAcentral.